RNAcentral lists this non-coding RNA (1022 nucleotides) under Pan troglodytes (chimpanzee). Lineage: Eukaryota; Metazoa; Chordata; Mammalia; Primates; Hominidae. The record is from RNAcentral.
UUUGUCACAGUCUGCAUUUCAUCCUAGGAUUGUCCUGAUUCCCUAAAUGAAUUGUAUUUUUUUGAGACAGGGUCUGGCAGCCUCGAACCCCUGGAGGCUUAGGUGAUCCUCCCACCUCAGCCCCCAAGUAGCUGGGACCACAGGCUCAGCUAAUUUUUACUUUUUUUUUUUAUUUUGCAGAUAUCAACCUCUCUGUGUUUCCUAGGCUGGUCUCAAACUCCUGGACUCAAGCAAUCCUCCUGCCUUAGCCUCCACAAGUGCUGGGAUUACAGGCAUGAGCAACUGCAUCCAGCUAAACAACCUCUCUUCUUGCAACACUGUUUCCUUGUGAGCUCAUUAACAUGCUAAUUACCAGAUUCCACAGGAAGAUGGAUUACAGAGCAAUAAGACAGGCUGGGUUCACCCUGGAAUGUGACCAGUAGUGACAGCCUCUAUAACAAUGACACAGGUACCGUUAUCGAUGCUGGGAAAAGAGAAAAGGACAUCAUUUUGCCCUCAGGGAGCUCAUAGUCUAACGGAGAGAGAGACAUGUGAACAACUACAACGUCUAUGGUAUAAGAAAACACUAAAUUGGAGACAUGUUCAAAGUAGUGCAGGGGAGGGAGCGGAGUGAGACUUCCUGGGGUCAUCCAGAAGGGCUUCCCGGCAGCACAUGGUUAAAGCAUGAGAUGUGAAACCAGGAAGAACCAGGUCUGAACCUUAGCUCCACCAGUGGUAGCCCCAAACCUUGGUCCUUUCUGAGCCUGCUUCUUCAACCCUAAGGGAACGCUACACUUCCUUAGAAAUUAAGAGUGUGUGCUACACUGCUUUACCAGAGCAAGACCAAAAGCAGCUUCAAUUAUGGUACAACUGUGUGAAGACACAAUGCGAAACCACUCAAGAAUGCUCACUCAAAUGGAUUUUUACCAUGGAACUCGGAAACGGGACCCAGAAAGUUGUUUUCUGCAAGUGGAUGGAACAACACAAGCAAUCAGUAUCCUGAAACAGGCCCUGUUCCAACAAACUGACCCAGAAAGGUCUGG